Molecule: ribosomal RNA, 1420 nt
Filed under: uncultured bacterium
Lineage: Bacteria
Description: bacterial SSU rRNA
Rfam family: Bacterial small subunit ribosomal RNA
Source: RNAcentral
AGAGUUUGAUCCUGGCUCAGAUUGAACGCUGGCGGCAGGCCUAACACAUGCAAGUCGAGCGGUAGCACAGAGAGCUUGCUCUCGGGUGACGAGCGGCGGACGGGUGAGUAAUGUCUGGGAAACUGCCUGAUGGAGGGGGAUAACUACUGGAAACGGUAGCUAAUACCGCAUAAUGUCGCAAGACCAAAGUGGGGGACCUUCGGGCCUCAUGCCAUCAGAUGUGCCCAGAUGAGAUUAGCUAGUAGGUGGGGUAACGGCUCACCUAGGCGACGAUCCCUAGCUGGUCUGAGAGGAUGACCAGCCACACUGGAACUGAGACACGGUCCAGACUCCUACGGGAGGCAGCAGUGGGGAAUAUUGCACAAUGGGCGCAAGCCUGAUGCAGCCAUGCCGCGUGUGUGAAGAAGGCCUUCGGGUUGUAAAGCACUUUCAGCGGGGAGGAAGGCGUUAAGGUUAAUAACCUUGGCGAUUGACGUUACCCGCAGAAGAAGCACCGGCUAACUCCGUGCCAGCGGCCGCGGUAAUACGGAGGGUGCAAGCGUUAAUCGGAAUUACUGGGCGUAAAGCGCACGCAGGCGGUCUGUCAAGUCGGAUGUGAAAUCCCCGGGCUCAACCUGGGAACUGCAUUCGAAACUGGCAGGCUAGAGUCUUGUAGAGGGGGGUAGAAUUCCAGGUGUAGCGGUGAAAUGCGUAGAGAUCUGGAGGAAUACCGGUGGCGAAGGCGGCCCCCUGGACAAAGACUGACGCUCAGGUGCGAAAGCGUGGGGAGCAAACAGGAUUAGAUACCCUGGUAGUCCACGCCGUAAACGAUGUCGAUUUGGAGGUUGUGCCCUUGAGGCGUGGCUUCCGGAGCUAACGCGUUAAAUCGACCGCCUGGGGAGUACGGCCGCAAGGUUAAAACUCAAAUGAAUUGACGGGGGCCCGCACAAGCGGUGGAGCAUGUGGUUUAAUUCGAUGCAACGCGAAGAACCUUACCUGGUCUUGACAUCCUCAGAACUUUCCAGAGAUGGAUUGGUGCCUUCGGGAACUGUGAGACAGGUGCUGCAUGGCUGUCGUCAGCUCGUGUUGUGAAAUGUUGGGUUAAGUCCCGCAACGAGCGCAACCCUUAUCCUUUGUUGCCAGCGGUCCGGCCGGGAACUCAAAGGAGACUGCCAGUGAUAAACUGGAGGAAGGUGGGGAUGACGUCAAGUCAUCAUGGCCCUUACGACCAGGGCUACACACGUGCUACAAUGGCAUAUACAAAGAGAAGCGACCUCGCGAGAGCAAGCGGACCUCAUAAAGUAUGUCGUAGUCCGGAUUGGAGUCUGCAACUCGACUCCAUGAAGUCGGAAUCGCUAGUAAUCGUAGAUCAGAAUGCUACGGUGAAUACGUUCCCGGGCCUUGUACACACCGCCCGUCACACCAUGGGAGUGGGUUGCAA